GACCACAGUGCUUAUGGCAUUAUGUCUGUGUGAUUUUUUUCUCCUCUACUGGCUUAUGAGCCCCUCAGGGACAUAAACUGAGACUUCUUGUUUAUGCUUGUGUAACAGAGUGUGUGGCCCAGGGUUGGCACCAGUAUCUGUCUGCAGAAUGGAUAAGUAAGAUCUAUAAUGUCACAGGAGGCAAACUGGUGGAUGUGGGCU
RNAcentral lists this long non-coding RNA (201 nucleotides) under Homo sapiens (human). RNAcentral describes it as "HSALNT0126869". The record is from RNAcentral. Lineage: Eukaryota; Metazoa; Chordata; Mammalia; Primates; Hominidae.